UACAGAGGUGGCAAGCGUUGUUCGGAAUUACUGGGCGUAAAGGGCGCGUAGGCGGUUCGUUAAGUCCUGUGUGAAAUCCCCCGGCUCAACUGGGGAACUGCACAGGAAACUAGCGGGCUUGAGUUCGGGAGAGGGAAGCGGAAUUCCGGGUGUAGUGGUGGAAUGCGUAGAGAUCCGGGGGAACACCAGCGGCGAAGGCGGCAUCCUGGACUGGUACUGACGCUCAGGAGCGAAAGCGUGGGGAGCGAUCCGG
RNAcentral lists this ribosomal RNA (253 nucleotides) under uncultured bacterium. RNAcentral describes it as "partial 16S ribosomal RNA". It matches the Rfam family "Bacterial small subunit ribosomal RNA", at positions 524 to 776 of the family's 1533-position model. The record is from RNAcentral.